CCCGGUUGGCCAAUUUGCCCCCGUCUACCACGCAUUCCCCUAAAGCCUCUUGGACCAGUUUCACCUCGUUCUCCGGGAAGACCCGAAUUGCCCUAGAAAAAUUUAUAAAGAAAUUAUUAUUUAAAAGAGUGAUCCAAGCUUUCCGGUUGCUCCUUUUUCACCCUUAUCACCGCUGACGCCUGGAUAUCCUGGAAAUCCUCUAUAUCCUUCCUUCCCCUUUUCACCUGGUGCACCCAUUUGCCCAGUUUCUCCGCGGGGGCCUUCGAAACCCUAAAUAGAAAAAGUGUAAUCACCAAAUCUUUUUAUUUUUAAACCAUUUUUUUUAAUAAUAAAAUUAAGAUUCAAAAGUAA
This is a long non-coding RNA of Anthonomus grandis grandis, 351 nucleotides long. RefSeq lists it as uncharacterized. Lineage: Eukaryota; Metazoa; Arthropoda; Insecta; Coleoptera; Curculionidae. The record is from RefSeq and is a predicted model, not a curated record. The transcript is spliced from 2 exons.